Molecule: transfer RNA, 65 nt
Filed under: Cucujoidea sp. 21 KM-2017
Lineage: Eukaryota; Metazoa; Arthropoda; Insecta; Coleoptera
Description: tRNA-Cys
Source: RNAcentral
GGUUUUUUAGUCAAGCAUGAUUUUAAAUUGCAAAUUUAAAGGUAGAUAGUAAUAUCUCUAAACCU